GGUUGUGGCUCAGUGGUAGAGCACUUGCCUAGCAUUGCGUAGGGCACUGGGUUAGAUCCCCAGCACCA
This 68-nucleotide transfer RNA is filed under the name Marmota monax (woodchuck). Its description in RNAcentral is "tRNA.Ala". The record is from RNAcentral. Lineage: Eukaryota; Metazoa; Chordata; Mammalia; Rodentia; Sciuridae.